Molecule: microRNA precursor, 90 nt
Organism: Gorilla gorilla gorilla (western lowland gorilla)
Lineage: Eukaryota; Metazoa; Chordata; Mammalia; Primates; Hominidae
Rfam family: mir-663 microRNA precursor family
Source: Rfam
CCGUCCGGCAUCCUAGGCGGGUCGCUGCGGGACCUCCCUCGUGUCUGUGGCGGUGGGAUCCCGUGGCCGUGUUUUCCUGGUGGCCCUGCC